CUGAUUUCUCUGAAGAUGAGCUAGGGACCUUGUGUAUCAUGACUAAAGAAAUAUGCUGGAAAGCCUGAUGUAGGUUUAAGGUUCAGGUUUUCUAAUGAAUGUACUAUAAUAAACCUUUGCCUAUGUACACAGGAAUCCUGAAGACACUGCUGUGAUUAUUGGCCUGACGCACCCUGUGGUACCACUGAGAGUUGUGAAGUUGUCUACCAUUCUACUGCAUGAGUUGCAGUAGAACCCCUGGCUGGUGAGAGGGGCAGCAAGAAAUGACCUGACAUUGCUACUCCUCCAAGAUGUCCAGACUACCAUUCGGCUCUUAGUACCCUUAGGGAGAGACUGAUGAGAAUCCAGAAAUGUUAAAGAUGCAAGUGAUGGAAGCUUCCAGCUGUGCCCACCUGUAACCUGACAUAGUUCCAUUGUUUGCUUCAUUACUCAGGCCAAAGACUCUAAUGCAAAUGUGGUACACAGUCACAUGUUUUUCUAUCUACAUGAUAGAAACUAUAACUUCAUCCCUAUAUAAAAGGGUAUACAGCGUAUGACUAAAUGAUAAAUAUACGUGAAUCACUGAUCAGUAAGAAACCAUUUUAAAAGUCUUUAACUACAGAACAAAAUCUCUGAAAAAAAUUGUUGUUAAUCUCUGAGUUUUCUUACAUGGGUAAUUAAUCUCUAGUCAUACUAAAUAGCUAGUAUGCUGCUCUUCAAAC
This 701-nucleotide long non-coding RNA is filed under the name Homo sapiens (human). RNAcentral describes it as "HSALNT0409231". Lineage: Eukaryota; Metazoa; Chordata; Mammalia; Primates; Hominidae. The record is from RNAcentral.